RNAcentral lists this unclassified non-coding RNA (613 nucleotides) under Hevea brasiliensis (rubber tree). The record is from RNAcentral. Lineage: Eukaryota; Viridiplantae; Streptophyta; Magnoliopsida; Malpighiales; Euphorbiaceae.
GGCAGCACUUUAUUACCAAGGAAAUUACUACACAUUAGGUGUGACCCCAACUGAAGCCCAAAUAAAAGACAAUGUGGAGUGGUUGUCGGCAUUUCAUGGAGACUCAACAGGUUUGAGCACAGAUAGUUUGGCAGAUGCUGGGUACCCUGGGGCAGCGUCGCUUGGUGAUACUGUUUGUGGGAUGGCUGCUGCUUAUAUCACUAAGAUAGAUUUCUUAUUCUUGUUUCGGUCUCACACUGCUAAGGAGAUCAAAUGGGGUGGUGCAAAGCAUCAUCCAGGGGACAAGGAUGAUGGGCAGAGGAUGCAUCCACGAUCUUCAUUCAAGGCAUUUUUGGAAGUGGUAAAGAGCCGGAGUUUACCAUGGGAGAAUGCAGAAAUGGAUGCUAUUCACUCUUUGCAGCUCAUUCUUCGUGACUCUUUUAGAGAUGCUGAAGCAACUAAUUCCAAGGCUGUUGCAAAUUCCCAACCGGGGGAUCUGGAGUUUCAAGGGAUGGAUGAACUCAACUCGGUCUCAAUAGAAAUGGUUAGGUUAAUAGAGACUGCAACUGCUCCAAUAUUUGCUGUAGAUGCUGAUGGCUGCAUAAAUGGGUGGAAUGCAAAAGUUGCUGAGUUG